GCAGCCGCGGUAAUACGUAGGUGGCGAGCGUUAUCCGGAAUCAUUGGGCGUAAAGAGGGAGCAGGCGGCGGAAGAGGUCUGUGGUGAAAGCCCGAAGCCAAACUUCGGUAAGCCAUGGAAACCAGUCUGCUGGAGUGCGGUAGAGGAUCGUGGAAUUCCAUGUGUAGCGGUGAAAUGCGUAGAUAUAUGGAGGAACACCAGUGGCGAAGGCGACGAUCUGGGCCUGCACUGACGCUCAGUCCCGAAAGCGUGGGGAGCAAAUAGGAUUAGAUACCCC
Molecule: ribosomal RNA, 277 nt
Filed under: uncultured Ruminiclostridium sp.
Lineage: Bacteria; Bacillati; Bacillota; Clostridia; Eubacteriales; Oscillospiraceae
Description: partial 16S ribosomal RNA
Rfam family: Bacterial small subunit ribosomal RNA
Source: RNAcentral